This is a long non-coding RNA of Odontomachus brunneus, 784 nucleotides long. RefSeq lists it as uncharacterized. The record is from RefSeq and is a predicted model, not a curated record. The transcript is spliced from 2 exons. NCBI's taxonomy places the organism in Eukaryota, Metazoa, Arthropoda, Insecta, Hymenoptera, Formicidae.
ACAUCUGAAGAAUUCUUUUUACAUCUGAAAAUGAAUUCAAAAUUGGUGACAUACGACUGAAUUCUUUUUGAAAUGAAUAAUUAAAUUUUCCUCCAUGUUGUUAACACACAACAAAUGACGCUCAUAAGCUAUUUGCGGCGAAUUAUUCGCUACUCGCUACAAAUCAUUCGCAGCGAAAAAUUCGCUACAUGAAAAGGCACCCUUACUGCAUUAUUAUCAAUCAUAUUGCACAACAGUCUGACGAAUUGUCUCUCCGCUCUGACUUCGUGGAUCUUCCAAUAAUUACAAAACAAUAAUCAUCGGCACUUGAAUUGCAUCGAUCAAACCACUAUUCAUAUCAAUACUGACACUUGCACAAGUUCAAGUCUUCGAAAAAUAUCACAGACACAGUAUGUUAUUUCAAGUGAUAAAUUUCCUCACACGAGUUUGCCAAGAGCAGCCACCGCUUAAUUUCCUAAAUCUGGCCUCGACAGGUUAAGGACUAAAGAAAUGCAGCCCGUUUUACCAAGUGCUUCCUUCUAACCAGCUAAAUAAAAUUUAUCAAAUAAAAUGGAGUAUUUACAAAUUUACAUGAUCACCGAGAGAGGACCGAUUUUUCACGUAAGACUAACUCGAACUAGGUCGCAAAAGGAAGGCUCCACGAAGAUGAAAUUGUUUCGCUGAAUUCCUGGACUAACCACUUUAUGUCGUAGGCUCUACAUGAGCGGUAAAAGUGGCAAUUUUUACGUUGAGAUAAAAUAUAGGCGAUUCAAUGUUUUACGUAAAUAUAUGUUAAUGCUUUGAA